UGACGGCAAUAGCGCCGUGGAACCACCUGAUCCCAUGCCGAACUCAGAAGUGAAACGCGGUAGCGCCGAUGGUAGUGUGGCAUUCGCCAUGCGAGAGUAGGACACUGUC
RNAcentral lists this ribosomal RNA (109 nucleotides) under Aeromonas hydrophila. Lineage: Bacteria; Pseudomonadati; Pseudomonadota; Gammaproteobacteria; Aeromonadales; Aeromonadaceae. The record is from RNAcentral. RNAcentral also lists the same sequence under 6 other names.